RNAcentral lists this ribosomal RNA (253 nucleotides) under uncultured bacterium. Its description in RNAcentral is "partial 16S ribosomal RNA". It matches the Rfam family "Bacterial small subunit ribosomal RNA", at positions 524 to 776 of the family's 1533-position model. The record is from RNAcentral.
UACGUAGGGUGCAAGCGUUAAUCGGAAUUACUGGGCGUAAAGCGUGCGUAGACGGUUAUUUAAGUCAGGUGUGGAAGCCCCGGGCUCAACCUGGGAACUGCAUUUGUGACUGCAAGGCUGGAGUACGGCAGAGGGGGAUGGAAUUCCGCGUGUAGCAGUGAAAUGCGUAGAUAUGCGGAGGAACACCGAUGGCGAAGGCAAUCCCCUGGGCCUGUACUGACGCUCAUGCACGAAAGCGUGGGGAGCAAACAGG